This 1394-nucleotide ribosomal RNA is filed under the name uncultured organism. RNAcentral's name for it is "SSU rRNA". It matches the Rfam family "Bacterial small subunit ribosomal RNA", at positions 28 to 1398 of the family's 1533-position model. The record is from RNAcentral.
GACGAACGCUGGCGGCGUGCCUAAUACAUGCAAGUCGAGCGGACCAAAUCGGAGCUUGCUCUGAUUUGGUCAGCGGCGGACGGGUGAGUAACACGUGGGCGACCUGCCCGCAAGACCGGGAUAACUCCGGGAAACCGGAGCUAAUACCGGAUAACACCGAAGACCGCAUGGUCUUUGGUUGAAAGGCGGCCUUUGGCCGUCACUUGCGGAUGGGCCCGCGGCGCAUUAGCUAGUUGGUGAGGUAACGGCUCACCAAGGCGACGAUGCGUAGCCGGCCUGAGAGGGUGACCGGCCACACUGGGACUGAGACACGGCCCAGACUCCUACGGGAGGCAGCAGUAGGGAAUCUUCCGCAAUGGGCGAAAGCCUGACGGAGCGACGCCGCGUGAGCGAAGAAGGCCUUCGGGUCGUAAAGCUCUGUUGUGAGGGACGAAGGAGCGCCGUUCGAAGAGGGCGGCGCGGUGACGGUACCUCACGAGGAAGCCCCGGCUAACUACGUGCCAGCAGCCGCGGUAAUACGUAGGGGGCGAGCGUUGUCCGGAAUUAUUGGGCGUAAAGCGCGCGCAGGCGGUUCCUUAAGUCUGAUGUGAAAGCCCACGGCUCAACCGUGGAGGGUCAUUGGAAACUGGGGGACUUGAGUGCAGGAGAGGAGAGCGGAAUUCCACGUGUAGCGGUGAAAUGCGUAGAGAUGUGGAGGAACACCAGUGGCGAAGGCGGCUCUCUGGCCUGCAACUGACGCUGAGGCGCGAAAGCGUGGGGAGCAAACAGGAUUAGAUACCCUGGUAGUCCACGCCGUAAACGAUGAGUGCUAAGUGUAGAGGGGUCACACCCUUUAGUGCUGCAGCUAACGCGAUAAGCACUCCGCCUGGGGAGUACGGCCGCAAGGCUGAAACUCAAAGGAAUUGACGGGGGCCCGCACAAGCGGUGGAGCAUGUGGUUUAAUUCGAGGCAACGCGAAGAACCUUACCAGGUCUUGACAUCCCCUGACAACCCAAGAGAUUGGGCGUUCCCCCUUCGGGGGGAUAGGGUGACAGGUGGUGCAUGGUUGUCGUCAGCUCGUGUCGUGAGAUGUUGGGUUAAGUCCCGCAACGAGCGCAACCCUCGCCUCUAGUUGCCAGCACGAAGGUGGGCGCUCUAGAGGGACUGCCGGCGACAAGUCGGAGGAAGGUGGGGAUGACGUCAAAUCAUCAUGCCCCUUAUGACCUGGGCUACACACGUACUACAAUGGGCGGUACAAAGGGCUGCGAACCCGCGAAGGGGAGCGAAUCCCAAAAAGCCGCUCUCAGUUCGGAUUGCAGGCUGCAACUCGCCUGCAUGAAGCCGGAAUCGCUAGUAAUCGCGGAUCUGCAUGCCGCGGUGAAUACGUUCCCGGGCCCUUGUACACACCGCCCGUC